Molecule: ribosomal RNA, 686 nt
Filed under: Leptostylis macrura
Lineage: Eukaryota; Metazoa; Arthropoda; Malacostraca; Cumacea; Diastylidae
Description: partial large subunit ribosomal RNA
Source: RNAcentral
GUACGCGAGUCCUUCGAGCUGGCUUACGAAGCUCUCGAGGGCUCAACGAAAGUGAAAGUCGCGCUUGCGCGACGGCGAAUCCGGAGAGAUCGGCUGCCGCGGGGGCAACGACGCCGAUCCGAUUCGGCGCACGCCGGGGGCCCGUCCGCAUUCGGAUUCGGACGACGCCGACGCUCGAUUCGUCGAUGCGUCGGCCUCUCGCCGGAACGAGGGCGGGCACUCCGAGCGCGCGGGUUAGUACCCGAAAGAUGGUGAUYUAUGCUUGUUUAGGACGAAGCCGGGGGAAACACCGGUGGAGGUUBGUAGCGAUUCUGACGUGCAAAUCGAUCGUCGGAGCUGAGUAUAGGGGCGAAAGACCAAUCGAACUAUCUAGUAGCUGGUUCCUUUCGAAGUUUCUCUCAGGAUAGCCGGCGCUCAGACGGACGGAGUUUCAUCCGGUAAAGAGAAUGAUUAGAGGUCCGCGGGGAUGAAACUUCCUCAGCCCAUUCUCAAACUCUAAAUGGGUGAGAAGUCGGGCUUGCGUGCUUGAAGCCACGACGAUAUUUCUCUAGAAUCCGAGCGCCAAGUGGGCCACUUUUGGUAAGCAGAAUUGGCGAUGUGGGACGAACCAAACGUCGGGUUAAGGGGCCAAAAUGUCGGUUAAUAAAGAGAACUUAAAGGCGUUGGUCGCUCGAGACAGCGGACGG